This 218-nucleotide ribosomal RNA is filed under the name uncultured bacterium. RNAcentral describes it as "partial 16S ribosomal RNA". It matches the Rfam family "Bacterial small subunit ribosomal RNA", at positions 524 to 742 of the family's 1533-position model. The record is from RNAcentral.
UACGUAGGGUGCAAGCGUUAAUCGGAAUUACUGGGCGUAAAGCGUGCGCAGGCGGUUUUGUAAGUUUGUCGUGAAAUCCCCGGGCUCAACCUGGGAAUGGCGAUGAAGACUGCAAGGCUAGAAUCUGGCAGAGGGGGUAGAAUUCCACGUGUAGCAGUGAAAUGCGUAGAGAUGUGGAGGAACACCGAUGGCGAAGGCAGCCCCCUGGGUCAAGAUUG